Molecule: ribosomal RNA, 477 nt
Filed under: uncultured bacterium
Lineage: Bacteria
Description: bacterial SSU rRNA
Rfam family: Bacterial small subunit ribosomal RNA
Source: RNAcentral
GAUGAACGCUAGCGGCAGGCCUAACACAUGCAAGUCGAGGGGUAGUUACUUCGGGUAAUGAGACCGGCGCACGGGUGCGUAACGCGUAUGCAAUCUACCUUUUACAGGGGAAUAGCCCAGAGAAAUUUGGAUUAAUGCCCCAUAGUAUGUAUGAAUCGCAUGGUUUAUACAUUAAAGUUCCAACGGUAAAAGAUGAGCAUGCGUCCCAUUAGUUAGUUGGUAAGGUAACGGCUUACCAAGACGAUGAUGGGUAGGGGUCCUGAGAGGGAGAUCCCCCACACUGGUACUGAGACACGGACCAGACUCCUACGGGAGGCAGCAGUGAGGAAUAUUGGACAAUGGGCGCAAGCCUGAUCCAGCCAUGCCGCGUGCAGGAAGAAGCAUCUAUGGUGUGUAAACUGCUUUUGUACAGGAAGAAACACUCCCUCGUGAGGGAGCUUGACGGUACUGUAAGAAUAAGGAUCGGCUAACUCCGUG